UCCUUCUUCUGACCCGGAGCAUCGCUGUCGAAUCGCACAAACUCCGUGUCGUCCACGUAGCCCACAGUCUCUGUCAGAACCAGGGCUGAUGAGAGCAGCAGCAGGAGAGAUGGGGACCUCAUGACCAGUGCUCUUCAGUCCUGGGAGAAGCUGGCUGGCUGGAAAAUUUAUAUCUGGAGCCGUGGAGAUGCUGAUUGGCUGUCAUGGAAACCCUCCAGGCAAUGGGGAGUGAGAACUGGGAUUACAGGUCAACAGGAAUGCAGUAACGACAGGAGGCAAGAAAGAAGGCCAGUGGCACCUCAACAUGAUGAUUCACGCAGAAGUUACCGGAGAGAAUAUAGAUGGAAUGUACGGGAUCCAGAACCGAGGAAGGAGGAAAGGAGACAAAUGAUGGCUCAGAGCAGAGGCUCACAUGAAGAGAGCAGGGAAUAUGGACAGGAGAGUAGACAUCAAGAGAUGACCUCCGAGGAAAGGAGACAAGUGGUGGUACACAGGAGAGAUUCAGAUGAAGAAUGGGGGGGCCCGGGGCUCCACUAGAUCUAAAACGGUCCACUAAAAUAACCCCCUUGGGAACUCAUUGAAGACCUGAGAUUUUCUUUAAGAAAAAGACAAAAACUUACAUGGUAGUAACUUUUCUUCUUUUCCAGCAAUGUAGCCGUGUGCUUCAAAAUGCACUUUCUGAAGGAACCCUAAAAUGGCAGACAUGCUCUAACCAGUCCUCUUCCUUUGAAAACAUUUAGGAACAUAACAAUGACAGCGUGCAAUUAUGCUAGCAGUUUUUUUUUUUUUUUAGUGAUUUGAUUUUACUACACAAGAAGGCCUUCAGUCUUGAUCUUGACAUUUCCUUGAAAAAUUUUCAUUUAUUCUUUUUGCUUGUUUUAGUUUUUAUCAUUUUGGCCUAUAUGAGUAUAACUGCAGUUACUAUGAUUUUACGUACAUAACUAAGAAAACUUGUGUCUAUAUGUUGCAUGUCUUAUGUCUUUUCCUUGUGUUUAAUUGUCUUGGCUUCGGGGUGUUCUAAAUUGGUUUGAAUGGUGCCUAUAUAUUGUAAACACACAAACAAAUGAAAAUGUAAUGUUCCUGGUAACUAAUUUGUUUUUGAACAGGUUACACUGGUAGAAUUUUUUUCUCUUACUUGGGUUGAUAAUGUCAGGCAAAUGGAAGUUUGGAAUAGUUAAGGUUUUUGAGAUCAAAAGAGUCUCUAGUUAAGAAAAAAGAAAUAAAAACUAAAAGGCUGUGGUUUGACUGUCAACAUUGUCUUACUGAACUGAGCCGGAGCUUUCACAGAAAUUGAGAUUGUCAUUGCUGCUAUUGUUUUUUUAUUUGUGACCAAACUUCCCAGAAUUUUAAAUUGAAAUACAGUUUGGUAGUUUGCCAUUUGGUUCAUCGUAAGAAAUGUUGUGGAACCUCAUUAGAGCUCCUGAGACACUCCACAAAAUUUCUCCCUUUCCCUCUGGGAAAAGCAUUCAGAUCAAAUUGUCCGAUUUGGUACACAUAGUAAACUAAGACUGGGAAGGAAGCAUUGUCACUUGGG
Long non-coding RNA from Condylura cristata (star-nosed mole), 1534 nucleotides. RefSeq lists it as uncharacterized. Lineage: Eukaryota; Metazoa; Chordata; Mammalia; Eulipotyphla; Talpidae. The record is from RefSeq and is a predicted model, not a curated record. The transcript has 3 exons.